RNAcentral lists this transfer RNA (74 nucleotides) under Candidatus Magasanikiibacteriota bacterium. Its description in RNAcentral is "Candidatus Magasanikbacteria bacterium tRNA-Gln". It matches the Rfam family "tRNA". From Rfam's summary of the family: Transfer RNA (tRNA) molecules are approximately 80 nucleotides in length. Their secondary structure includes four short double-helical elements and three loops (D, anti-codon, and T loops). The record is from RNAcentral. Lineage: Bacteria; Candidatus Magasanikiibacteriota.
UCGGGGAUCGUCUAAUGGUAGGACAGCAGCCUUUGAAGCUGUUUAUCCUAGUUCGAAUCUAGGUCCCCGAGCAA